UGUGAACAGCUGAGAGGUGUGACUUCACAGGACUGACUCCCCUCCCUGUCAGGGUCCUGAUUGGGCCGGACAGGAGAUGCAGGAGAGGCCCGGGGCUCCCUAAAGGACACCAACAGGUGGGAAGCUGCACUGGAGGGGGGACGCUCCUGGUGGGUAUAGAAAAGGCCGGUCUGCAUGGCCUGCUGUGGACACAAUCCACGAGGCCACAUACAGAAGAGAACGGAUGGUCGCAAAGAGAGCUGAGGCAAACAGAUGACACUAAUGUAUGGGAGGAAAAGGGAAGCUUCAGGGACAUGAACUAAGGUAGCACAGAAGAGGACCUCCUGUUCUCUCUCCUCUUUCUUUCCCUCCCUCUGUGUCUUUGGCCCCCUUUCUGCCUCUCUCUUGCUCUGCCUUCAGCCGAAGCAACACGCCUUGCUGUGGCUGGUCAAACGGAACCAAGUCAGGUGUUUCAGUGAGGUUUGGUCCCCUUCAACCAGCUACCGCGUCGUGAAUUCUUUCAGCGGGAAAUCAGAGACACAGUUCUGCUUAAUCUGGGAGUAAUAGUCUGAGAAAAUGUGAAGAACAUAGAUUACAUGUUAUUCAAAGGUUGGCAUUUCUUUUGCAGAUUGAUUUUGGCAAUUUAAGUAUAGAUGUCUGUGUUUAAAACCCAAUAAAGAAUAUUUAACGCUGUAUAUAAUGUAUCCUCUUUUCUCUGUUCAUUUUCCAAUAUGUAAUAAACAUUUUUUUUUCUUUU
Molecule: long non-coding RNA, 736 nt
Organism: Cyprinodon tularosa
Lineage: Eukaryota; Metazoa; Chordata; Actinopteri; Cyprinodontiformes; Cyprinodontidae
Exons: 2
Source: RefSeq, a predicted model, not a curated record